RNAcentral lists this transfer RNA (77 nucleotides) under Rickettsiales bacterium. Its description in RNAcentral is "tRNA-Met". It matches the Rfam family "tRNA". From Rfam's summary of the family: Transfer RNA (tRNA) molecules are approximately 80 nucleotides in length. Their secondary structure includes four short double-helical elements and three loops (D, anti-codon, and T loops). Lineage: Bacteria; Pseudomonadati; Pseudomonadota; Alphaproteobacteria; Rickettsiales. The record is from RNAcentral.
GGCUGGGUAGCUCAGACGGUUAGAGCGUGGGACUCAUAAGCCCGAGGUCGUGGGUUCGAUUCCCACCCCCGCCACCA